Molecule: ribosomal RNA, 666 nt
Filed under: Triticum aestivum (bread wheat)
Lineage: Eukaryota; Viridiplantae; Streptophyta; Magnoliopsida; Poales; Poaceae
Description: partial small subunit ribosomal RNA
Source: RNAcentral
AUGUUGGAUGCAGGGAGUGGCUUCUCUUGUGACAUUUGCAUCAACAAUCUCUUUGCUGUCGCCAACACGAAGCUUCUCAAGGAUUAUGCCCAGAUAGAUGGCAGAUUGCUUCAGCUGGCCUCCAUUGUCAAGCACUGGGCCAAACUGAGGGGUGUCAAUGAGACAUACCGCGGAACCCUCUCCAGCUAUGCAUAUGUGCUUAUGUGCAUCAGUUUCUUACAGCUGAGAGAGCCCAAGAUCCUUCCCUGUUUACAGGCUAUGGAGCCCACAUAUACCAUGGUUGUUGAUGACACUGAAUGCGCUUAUUUUGACGAAGUUCAUCAGCUUCGUGAUUUUGGGGCUGAAAACAAGGAGACCAUCGCGGAGUUACUCUGGGCAUUUUUCCACUACUGGGCAUUCCAGCACGAUUACAGGAAAGAUGUCAUCUCUAUCCGUAUGGGAAAGAUAAUCAGCAAGAAGGAGAAGAACUGGAUGACUCGCAUCGGAAACGACCGCCAUCUGAUCUGCAUCGAGGACCCUUUCGAGACCGGCCAUGACCUAGGCCGUGUAGUCGACAGGCAGACAAUCAGGAUCAUCAGGGAGGAGUUUGAGCGGGCCGCUGCCGUACUGCAGCAUGACGAUGACCCUUGCAUGACCCUUUUUGAGCCCUACCAUUAUGAGAAAUAA